GAAAAAGAGGAGUGGCGAACGGGUGAGUAACACGUGGGUAACCUGCCCAUCAGAAGGGGAUAACACUUGGAAACAGGUGCUAAUACCGUAUAACAAUCGAAACCGCAUGGUUUUGAUUUGAAAGGCGCUUUCGGGUGUCGCUGAUGGAUGGACCCGCGGUGCAUUAGCUAGUUGGUGAGGUAACGGCUCACCAAGGCCACGAUGCAUAGCCGACCUGAGAGGGUGAUCGGCCACAUUGGGACUGAGACACGGCCCAAACUCCUACGGGAGGCAGCAGUAGGGAAUCUUCGGCAAUGGACGAAAGUCUGACCGAGCAACGCCGCGUGAGUGAAGAAGGUUUUCGGAUCGUAAAACUCUGUUGUUAGAGAAGAACAAGGAUGAGAGUAACUGUUCAUCCCUUGACGGUAUCUAACCAGAAAGCCACGGCUAACUACGUGCCAGCAGCCGCGGUAAUACGUAGGUGGCAAGCGUUGUCCGGAUUUAUUGGGCGUAAAGCGAGCGCAGGCGGUUUCUUAAGUCUGAUGUGAAAGCCCCCGGCUCAACCGGGGAGGGUCAUUGGAAACUGGGAGACUUGAGUGCAGAAGAGGAGAGUGGAAUUCCAUGUGUAGCGGUGAAAUGCGUAGAUAUAUGGAGGAACACCAGUGGCGAAGGCGGCUCUCUGGUCUGUAACUGACGCU
This 677-nucleotide ribosomal RNA is filed under the name uncultured Bacilli bacterium. Its description in RNAcentral is "bacterial SSU rRNA". It matches the Rfam family "Bacterial small subunit ribosomal RNA", at positions 84 to 747 of the family's 1533-position model. Lineage: Bacteria; Bacillati; Bacillota; Bacilli. The record is from RNAcentral.